RNAcentral lists this ribosomal RNA (439 nucleotides) under uncultured bacterium. Its description in RNAcentral is "partial 16S ribosomal RNA". It matches the Rfam family "Bacterial small subunit ribosomal RNA", at positions 338 to 795 of the family's 1533-position model. The record is from RNAcentral.
CCUACGGGAGGCAGCAGUGGGGAAUAUUGCACAAUGGGGGAAACCCUGAUGCAGCGACGCCGCGUGAGUGAAGAAGUAAUUCGUUAUGUAAAGCUCUAUCAGCAGGGAAGAAAAUGACGGUACCUGAGUAAGAAGCCCCGGCUAACUACGUGCCAGCAGCCGCGGUAAUACGGAGGAUGCGAGCGUUAUCCGGAUUUAUUGGGUUUAAAGGGUGCGUAGGCGGACUGUUAAGUCAGCGGUAAAAGCCCGGGGCUCAACCCCGGCGAGCCGUUGAAACUGGCUGUCUUGAGAUGUCGAGAGGUAUGCGGAAUGCGCAGUGUAGCGGUGAAAUGCUUAGAUAUUGCGCAGAACUCCGAUUGCGAAGGCAGCGUACCGGCGCCAGACUGACGCUGAGGCACGAAAGCGUGGGGAUCGAACAGGAUUAGAUACCCGGGUAGUC